Molecule: ribosomal RNA, 421 nt
Filed under: Adenomera diptyx group sp. ABGD cluster 13
Lineage: Eukaryota; Metazoa; Chordata; Amphibia; Anura; Leptodactylidae
Description: partial large subunit ribosomal RNA
Rfam family: Bacterial large subunit ribosomal RNA
Source: RNAcentral
CUUGUCUAACAUAAGAGGUCCAGCCUGCCCAGUGACAUUGUUCAACGGCCGCGGUAUCCUAACCGUGCGAAGGUAGCGUAAUCACUUGUUCUUUAAAUGAGGACUAGUAUGAAAGGCAUUACGAGAGUUAUACUGUCUCCUUUCUCUAAUCAGUGAAACUAAUCUCCUCGUGAAGAAGCGAGGAUAAAAAUAUAAGACGAGAAGACCCUAUGGAGCUUAAAACAAAUAACAUUUGCCCUUCUAACUCUAAAUUUCAGAAAAAUUUUUUAUCUUGGCAUUAUAACUAUUAGUUUUUGGUUGGGGUGACCACGGAACAAAAAACAACUUCCGCAAUGAAAGACGCUCCUUCACUAAGUCAAGGGCUACAACCCUACACAUCAACAAAUUGACAUUAAUUGACCCAACAUGUUGAUCAAUAGAC